This is a small nucleolar RNA of Pogoniulus pusillus (Red-fronted tinkerbird), 135 nucleotides long. RefSeq annotates it as small nucleolar RNA SNORA84. The transcript has a single exon. Lineage: Eukaryota; Metazoa; Chordata; Aves; Piciformes; Lybiidae. The record is from RefSeq and is a predicted model, not a curated record.
GCCCUGUGGUAGCUGGACACUGGUUUGUACAUACAGUGCUUCAGCUGGUGGCAAUGGGCCAACAGUGACACUGUGAUUCAUGCAUGGAGUUUGUGAUGUGUCAGCAGCUUCCAUAGCCCCAUCACAGGUACAGAG